AGGGAAAAACUGACAAACACGGACAAAUGAAGUGAUCGAAAGAGGCACAGCUCUACCUUCGUUUCUUAUUACAAUUUUAUUUUUGGUUGUUCGUUUUCGAUUCCACUCCCGCCUUCGGUCUUCAUCUUUACGGUUCUGUUUUUGUGUUGGGGAAGAUGUUUGCAGCUCCCUCUCUCUGCUUAAGACUGGCGCAGGGUGAUUCUGUGGUAAGAGUUGUAUUUGCUUCGACAUGGAUUUUGGGUUCUAUUUGUAUUAUAUUGCGCUGUUACCGUUACUAAAGUUUAAGUUUGGGGGCGUGGUGUUUCUGCACCAUGGUUGGAGCUGAAGAAUGCAGAGACCUACAACGGACAUUUGGUAGAUUGGGACACUUGGAUGAACAUUCAUCUGUGUGAAGUCAUCUGUACCUCAAAAAUACGAAACUGGAGACCAUGUUGGUGUUUUUGCUGAGAAUUGUGAUGAAACCAUUGAGGAAGCGGGAAAAUUGUUGGGUCAGCCUUUGGAUUUGCUGUUUUCAAUCCACCUGGACAAUGAAGAUGGCACACCCCUGCAAAGCUCGUUACCACCUCCUUUCCCUGGUCCAUGCACAUUAUGUAAUGCCCUAGCAUGUUAUGCAGAUCUCUUGAAUCCUCCUAGAAAGGCUAGUUUGGUUGCUUUGGCUGCCCAUGCAUCUGAACCCUGUGAAGCAGAAAGACUAAAAUUUUUGUCAUCUCCAGAUGGAAAGGAUGAGUAUGCACAGUGGGUUGUUGGGAGCCAGAGAAGUCUCCUAGAAGUAAUGGCUGAAUUUCCAUCAGCAAGACCUCCGCUGGGCCUUUUUUUUGUCAAAUUUGGUGGUGUAACUCUUCAUCAUAUGGCCCAUUUGUAUUGAAUUGUUCAUUGUGUGUUUUCAACCAGCAACCUAUUCUGUCCAUAUCUUUGACUUUUAGCUAAUAAACUUUGUCCCUCUUGUUGUGUAAAAUUUGGAUUUGGCUGAAAACUUACACGAAUGGGUUUAAUAAUGCAAAAAAUUGAAAUUGUACAAAUGUAUGUAUUACAAUAACAUAUAACAUUCGUGCAUUAAAUAAGCAUUUCAGAACUCCGGGAUGAUGUAUUUUAGCCAAAUCAGAUGGUGUGCUCCUGGAGGCAGUUUCCAGUCGGCCUUAACGAGUGGCUUUUGGUAGAGGCACCCAUGGGAUCUUUGCCAAGCUCUUGAUUGAGUAUAGAUGGGAAGCUUCUGGUGAAGCACACGUGUGCUGAUAAACUUGAGAUUGGUUGCUUGCUGACCGGACAUCAUAUUCUAUGGUUUACAGUUCAGCCAUUCUCAACCAGUUUUAACCUAUUUGAUGUGCUUCAAUUCUUCUUGCUUACCAGUUGGUUGAUAGUUUUACCUUUUAUUCAUUUUCUGUAGGGAAAAAACGUGACUCAUUUCCAUGCAAUGUGCUUUGUUCUGCUAAAACAUCAUCUACAAGGGCAAAGUUUUGAAUUAAGGAUUCCUUUAUCAUUCAUUAGCCUGGAUAUCUUGCAAACUAUUCUCACUUCUGAGAUGCCUCUUAAUGGUUGCAAUCAGGAGAUUUUGUGCCUCUCAUGAUUAGAACAGGCGACCUUAUUUCUAUUUUGUCAGCAUUAAUGUACCAUUUGAGCUUGCAUUUCAUUGCUCUUCUUGUUCAAGGGGCAGGCUUUUCAUCUGAUGCCAUGGUGGUUCAAUUCAAUACUAAUAUGCAAUUGAUUCUGUCCCAAACUAUUCAAUAAUUUGAUAUGGCUUUUCCCCUUGUUUCUUUGGUGAUCUCUGUUCUUCAGACAAAAUUUAUUUGUCAAGUAGUUUCAGGGCAGUACACUGACAUGUGGUGAAGUCAGAUUGUCAUGAUAAUUAAACCAUGAUUAGAUGAAGAUGUGGACAACAGAUAUUUUAUGUGGCAAAUAAACUGACAUAACUAGAAGGGCUUUUGAUUGUAUCACAGCCGAAUCUGCCCUCCAGAAUUUGAGAAGGCAGGAAAAAGAAUUAUCGGCCUUUACUCAAGGAGGAAAAAUGAUAAAUGUUAAAUCUUCUUCCUUGCUCUAUAAUAUAGUGAUGAUAAAUGUGUGUAAUCCCUUGUUGCUUUGUAGUGAUGAAUGAUAUAUUUCAGUCAGUGUUUCCUUAUUGCUUUAUUGUAUGGUAUAAACAUGAGCCCUUCUGUUGCUUGAUAAUGUGGUUAAACAUGUAAUCCACCUGGUUUUUUUCUUAUCAUUGAUUUAAUGUAUAUGAUGUAACAACUUUCAAAUACGUACUGGCUUAGCAUAAUUUUAUCUUGAAAAUAUUAUAGGGGUUAUACAUAUAUUUUGUACUGAAUAUUCUCUAUUUACUUCUUUUUUUUUCAUUCAAACUCUUUGGUGACUGACUCCCUUCGCCAAUAUAAAAAUGCUGGUUUACUUUCCAGGGUAUUGGUAAUGUUCAGGAAGAAUCCUAAAGCCGUUCAGAUAGAAAGCCCCUGGAGUAGGCCGUUGAAGGGGAAGAGGGUGGAAGCCAGAUGAAGAAUGGCAAAAGGCAUGGGGCGUGGCCAAGAUGAUGGAGGUGCUAAAGGCAGGGGUAGGGAUGGACAGGGUGGCAGUGGCAGAGUUUGAAGUCGCACUAUGAAAUAUAAAGGAUGAGAAAUCUGCAGACAGUUGGCCUUGCUAGCAGGAACUGUCUGAUUUAAAGGUGAGAUUGCUCCUAUACACAGACACCAACCUACUGCCUCUAUAUUCUGAAUAUAUGCAUCUGUUGAGGGGGUGUUAUCUUCACCUUGGGGUUGUGCCAUGCAAAUGAAGAGUGCGCAUAUGGAUCGUUUUGGACUGUGGCCCAAGAGUUCAUGGCUGUGUUUGGUAUGCAUUCUUGGAAUGCAUUCUGGAUCAAGAACAGAUUCUGGACUGUUAAAAACAUUGCUUGGUAAACAUUCCAUUCUCAAAGUUCUAGAACACAGUCAAGAAUGCAGCCCAUUCUGAAAUGGAAUAUUUUCUCAUUCUGCAUUCUCCAUUCUCCAGCUCUUGCCGCAGCCCCGAUGAAAAUAGCUCCGCUAUUAAUCUUAUGAAAGGCACCUCUCCCAAGGAAUAGCGUCUCAUUCUUACAAUUCUCCAAUACUUAUCUUUCUCUCUUUCUAAAAACUGCUUCUCUCGCCCCAAAUCUUUCUCUUUUUCUCCUUAAGAUCUCCUCUCGAAUCCAAAAUCCUAGAAUGUUUUGUUUGCCUCGCAAUCUUUACGGGUUUGAUGUAAGCAAUACUAUCUAAGGAACCAAUCAAACUUUUAUAUUUUUAUUUGUGAAUUAUUGAUGUAAUAUUAUUUGGGAUUUUCACCAAAGAGAUUCCAGCCAUGAGGUGUUUGAUAAAA
Molecule: RNA transcript, 3315 nt
Organism: Macadamia integrifolia
Lineage: Eukaryota; Viridiplantae; Streptophyta; Magnoliopsida; Proteales; Proteaceae
Gene name: sm-like protein LSM4
Exons: 7
Source: RefSeq, a predicted model, not a curated record